Molecule: long non-coding RNA, 2846 nt
Organism: Hipposideros armiger (great roundleaf bat)
Lineage: Eukaryota; Metazoa; Chordata; Mammalia; Chiroptera; Hipposideridae
Exons: 3
Source: RefSeq, a predicted model, not a curated record
UCCUUUGCGUGAACUCUGCGCUGCGUGUUUUAGAAUUGACGUUUCGUUCUGGUCGCAGUAGCGUUUUGUACCUAUUCCAGCACUCUGAAGUGUGCACAGCCUUUGAAGCGGGCCCCAAAAGCCGCCAUGCCUUGGCUAAGGCAGCCCUGUGUUAUGGGGGGGUCGGUCUCUCUGAGUCUGGGUUCCUCCUCAGGCUUGGAAACACGCGUUUCCAAAUCAGGCUUCUCGUGAGUCACUUGGGCAACCUAACCCUUCCCUUCGGUCCCUCUGCGCAUUCCGCUGCGGGAAUCCCGAGGCCUUCCUGAUUACAGAAGAGGGUAGUGAGGGUUUUGGUAUUGGUUUUUUUUUUUUUUUUCCUUGAGGGAAAUUGCAAGCUACUUUGAUGCCCUCGACUUCCUCAUAAAGUUCAAAGGCGGUGACCCGGCGUUCCUCAAGUCCCUGCUCCCUGAACAAGUCAGCAACCAGUUCUGAAACUGCAAAUUCCAUCUUAACUGGUUAGUGGUGGGCAGUUGGCGCUGCACCUGGAGGGAACUGAGAAUGAGACGUGCCCUCCAAAAUAGAUCCACUGUUUUGCUGGAAUGCAGGCUUUCUAAGGUUACUGCCACAGACAAAUGCCGAUGAAUGUUCUUCACUGGAAGAUUUUUGAAGCUUAUGGGCAAGACCGAUGAAACACAAGAGUUGUUCUUGAGUGUUGAGAACCUGUUAGGGCAGGUAACGUGGGUGAUAAUUGUAAAUCCUUCAAACGUUAUUCCUUUUGUGUUGGGUAGUUUCAAAUAUCCUUUACCUUUGUUCCUUUACAAUUUAGUUCACAAGUCGAGAAAUCAAUUAGUUAUGUUCAUCAGUGAGGAAGUGACAAUUUUAAUUCAUACUCCAAACUGGAUAUUAAUGACAAGAAGCAGUAAGUAGAUGGGAAUCAUUACAGAAUAAAUGAAUACUAAUUGGUAUCAUUUGGGGAGAAAAAGGAAUGUUCAUAAAGCGAAAAGGGAACUUGAGUAGUGAAUUGGAGUGAAUUAAUAAAAGACUGGUUAAAAACUUGGCUAUAAUUUUUAUAAAGAUGUUAGGGAAGGUUGAUUAUCUUGUCUCUAUAUUAAUUUACUUUUCCUGAACUAUGAAUGUUUCGCUUUGUUGAAUGUGAUGUAACUUUUACUCAGAACUCCUAACUAUGCUUAUGAUGACAUUUAACUGCCCAUCAAGAAAAUUAUAAAUUUUCACUGAUUUCAGUAUAAUAUGUGGACCCAGGAUAGCAUAACCUAAGACAAAUCUGUCUUUAUUUUUAAGCAAAGUCUUACAGAUUUUCAUAAAACCGUGCCUCCAACCCACUGACACACAUCUCUCUAUAUAAGGAAUUCUAUUUAAAGAGAUUUGUAAGAUAAACAUUGCAAAUCUCUUUAUGGCAGAGACUAUGCUUAUCUAUUAAUACCAAUUUUUGUAUCCUCCAUGGUAUAUUACAACCCACAGGUGCAUAAUAAAUGUGACAAAUGCAUGAAUUUGAACUUGCAGGUAUUUCAUGUCCUCAGAAGAACUGAGCAUGGGCUGUUUUCAGGCUGACCCAAAUUUAAAGUUCUUUGGCACUGACCGCUGUGUGACCUUGGCAAGAACCUUAACCUCUGACCCAGUGAGUUCUCCUUGCUGAGGAUUCUCAUAUGUGUCUCCUGGGGCUGUUAGCAGGUUAAGUGUGAAGGUACACAAAGCAUUUCACACACAGUGUGGCAUAUUGUGAGACCUUAAGAACUGGUAGCUAUUUCGUUAUUAACACCUGUGGGUUGUAAAAUAACUGAGGCCUAAGUUAGAAAUCAUAUGAAAGUUUGAUUUAAGCCGUUUUGAGCACUCUUUCAUCUUCUGGAGAGGAGAGUCUGGUGAUUCCCUGCUGUUUUAUUAUGACUGAAAUUUCGCCCUGCACCAGAUGAUGUUUUUCCCACGAGGUCUGGAUUUCCAUAACUGACGCGUCUGUCUAGUUGACACAGACGUGUCUGUCUGGAAGCACCAAUUAUUUUAUUAGUGCUGAGUGCCUGAUAACCAUCGUUCACUCAUUCAUUCCCUGAGGGCCCUGCCGAGCCCGAGCACGGUGCCAGGGGCUGGGGUGGUAGUGGCGAACGAGGCAGGCAUCGUUUCUGGCCCCAUGUAGCUCCCAGUCUAGCUGGAAGUCCCUGCCAACAGCCACAUCCGUGAGGAAGCGUGACUUGUGAAAUACGCUGGCCGUGAAGGGAGGAGGCUGGCUUCAUAGGAGGUGUGCCAAAACUUAAGACAUUUCAAGGGAAUGUCCCACUUCGGAGCACUCCUUUAGGAGGCAUCAAUCUUAUGAUUCUAUUCUCAAAGUAUUUUUGCAACAGCUCUUUGAGACUGGCCGCCAUGGAGACUGCUGAAAGAAUUUUCUUUGGUCUCUGAGGGCACUUCCAAACGAGAGGUUCUCAAAUGAUUUCGUAGGGCAUUCACGACUUCUUUGAAAUAUGUGCCUCGCAUUCUUGAGGGGAAAGAUCUUGGUGGUGGUGAUGUAUACAGUCUGGACUCUACCACAUUUAUCAUUUCUUCAACUUAGGUCGUUUUAAAAUUUUAAUGUAGUGCUUUUCAACUAUGAGGCAAUUUUGUCCCCCAGGGACUAUUUGACAAAGCUGGAGGCCUUUUUGGUUGUCACAGCUGGAUGGGGGUUGCUACUGACGAGCCCCCCUCCACCUCCCUCACACACACAUACACACCCACGUAGCGCAGAGUUAUUCUGCCCCAAAUGUCAAUGGUUGAGAAACCCUGAUUUAAAUGGCAUGUUGGUUUAAAAAGUAGGUCUCGCGCCAGAGAAGAGCGCGAUGAUGGUGCCAACUUGGGCCAGUGAAGCGACAUCCUCCACAACUAGA